Gasterosteus aculeatus aculeatus (three-spined stickleback) is the source of this 15394-nucleotide long non-coding RNA. The record is from Ensembl. Lineage: Eukaryota; Metazoa; Chordata; Actinopteri; Perciformes; Gasterosteidae.
UGAUAAAGUUUCUGGCACUGUUCAGAAAACGACAAUAGCUGUCAUUUCUUUGGACCGUCAAUAAGUCCAUCAAUAGUGCGUAGCUCCGGUUUCAGUUCAGACACCCGGCCCGUCGUAACCUGUGCUGCUUGUUUGCAAAGCCUCUGCAUGUUCCACUUUUCAGUCUGACACGCUGUGCGUCGUGUAAUACAUGACACAUGUGCAUGUCGGAUGUGAUUAAAGCGUGCGUGUGUGCGUGCUUUAGAGAAAAAUUGUUGGAUUUAAUGGGAUUUUCUGAAUGGGUAUUUUAAACAGAUAUGUGGGGCAAGAGAAAAUUAUGGUUUGCAAUCAAAAUUCUGAGAAUUUUUACUGCCUAAACAUAUUUUAUUAAUUUAAAAAUAACGGUUUUUGCAUGUAGCUUUGCUUUGCACUUAAGACAGAAAUAUGCAGGGUAAACACCUUUGACUGUGAUCUUCCAACGUCAAGGUGCUACUGAGUAAUUGUAUAUUUAUUGCCAUGUAGACACACACACACACACACACACACACAGACACUCAUGCAGGGAGAGAGUGGUGGCUUUGCCAGAUCAUAAUGAGGAUUUAAUUCCUGCCCGUGGCUGUUGGCGUGCUAAAGACUCUUUCUCCUUUUCUUCUUUUCUUACAUUCACACACACUUAAACACCAACACCUGCUCUGACCGUAGUCUGGCAGAGGCCUCGGAUGAAAAAUGAUUGAAGCAUGUUUGUUUUCAAUGAAACCAACCAAAAUUGUAAAGAAAGAUGAUGCCUAAGGCCAUGUUCAAAGUUAAAACCCCAAAACUGUUUGUAUUCCGAUUUAGGGCCAUGAAAUUCUUGAGAAUAUAGUUAGUCUUUUCGUAAAAGAGACAUCAUUUUAUUUAACUGUACUGCAAUUAUUCAAUCUUGUUAGCUUUUUUUUUUUAUAGUUCACAUUCAAGUUUAGUUGCAUUGUAAUACUUAGUUGGUGUUCAAAAAUGCUCAAAUGAAAUAAAACAAAAUACCUUAAUAGCAGACAACAAUAAAAAGAGGAGUAGGAGUUAUUGCAAUAGCUAAAUGUCACUCUUUAAAUCCCAAAAACUUGACUUUGAUGCCAAAUGAUGAACUCCGUGUGGUCUGAUGAAGAGUCUGAAGUGGAACCUGUGAGCUUGUGUCUCGCCUUUCAAGGCCUCUCUGUCCACACGUCUGAAUCUCCCAAAUGCUUUACAGAUAAUAAUGUCUCUAGCCCAUAAUAACCUGUGUGUGUGUGUGUGCAUAUAUCAUUUCUAUGGGCUUUUAAUGCAUGUAUUAUCGCUACCAAACACUUGGUACAUAUCAGGUUACUUGUACUGCAGUUCUACUCAGACAUGCGUUUGACAUGCAUAUGAAGAUAAUUCUGUCAACGAGGUAAAAACAAUAAAUAAACAAUAAAGUGAACACUUCUGGUGUGAAAGUUAUUCUGCUUUAAACAAAAAGUGUUGCAAUCCCCAAAAAACAGUUAAUGCUUCCAAUUCAGAGGAUGUCCAAACCAUCACACAUGUAUGCUCAAUUAUGUGUUUUAGUGCCUAAACAAUUAGUUGAGGAAUAGAAAUUGAAUGAACUGGUGCUUUGAUGAUUCAUUGUUGAGGAGAAAUGGUUGCAGCUUCUAAAAUGUGGUGGUUUCUUUUUUCUUCUUUUUUGAUGGUUUUAAAGUCUUUUGAGUUUGGGUUGUUCAGACAAAACUCAACAUUUUAAUACACCUUGAAAUCUGGUAAAUUAUAACGGCCUUUUGUUUGAAAUUUACUUUGCUUGUACAGCGUUGUCAUGUGAAGAAUUCAGCUGCUGUUUUUCUCGAUUAUACGCCGUACUAAAGGGAAUUCCUGUCUUCCUCGGUCUCUAUUUGCACUGUACAGCUGUUGCUUUUUCAUAUGCUGUUGGCCUCCUUCGAGAAAUUAGGUCAGAAAUGUGUUUCUCUUUUUUUGUGUGUGUGUGUGUGUGUGUGUGUGUGUGUGUGUGACGAGGCUGCGCAUCUGUCCAUCUGACCUCCAGGGAGACGACCGGAGAUAGAAAUCACCAUCACAGACACGGCGAGGCAGAGAGGCGAGGGUUAAAGAGGGGUGAAAUGAGGCAAAGAUUUAUACUGUAGAAAAAGACAUCUGGUGGACGUGUUCUGAGGCAGCCGAGGUCCUCGAGAACGCGUAUUUAAGCGCGCCCCCGUGAGGAUUUCUAAUGAGCUGUACUGCAAGUGAGUGCGGGUCGGAUCACAGUUGAUGAUCAGCGGAGCAGAUGUGAGGAGUGGUUUGAAUUUAUGCACUGAGCUGUUUGGGGGAAGUUACGGCCCGUAAUUUAGACACUAAUUGACGUCCGCGCUCUCUCAACACACUUUUCUCUGAACGCUUGAGCUCUUUCUGUAGAAGAAACCUUUUGAUUGUGACAUUCUGUGGGGUUGCGUAAGCCCAACAACAAUCUGUGCGUGUUUGUGUUUGCUUCAGCUCUGAGCACACAGCUGAAAAACGCAAAGGAACAGAGUAGAGUUUGGAAAAGAAAGUUGCGUAUGUGUGUGUAAGUGUGUGUACUUGCGUGUGUGUGUGUGUGUGAGAGAGAAGAAUUGUGGCACUGGGGACAACAGCUGCUCCAGGGGUCUGUCUCAUGCUUUUUUCCCUGGUGACACAAACGCACACACACACACACACACACAAAUGUAUUUACACAACAAGUGCCCCCAAUGAGCAACAGUAGCACCUCGACUUUCACCGCUGACAUUUAUUUUAAUAAGUUCAUUGGUCUCCGCUGUACAAACAAAAUAAGCUCUGUGUUGCCUUUUUUAGUGUUGUUAAUUGAUCGAGUUGAUCGUGUCCCUGUGAGUUGUGACUCUGGAGCUGUGCCAAGCCGUUCAUUAAUCGACUACGUGUUGAUGUUUCACAAAUGUAGGAAAAUUUGUGUUAAGAAGAAAAGUGACAUCUAGGAUGGUCGCAGUGCACUAAAUUCUGAAUAACUGAUAUGUGUCAUAAUUUCCAUAAUUUUUUUUCUUCUCAAGAAACUGAGAAAAAAGUGACCAAAACAAUAGCGUUGUGCCUUCAGGUCUCAGAUCAACCAACCAUAGUGUUGCAGUCACUUUAACAUUGUGACCGCAUCACAUUUAACUUACAGUGAAGCACAAUCAGAGACGCGCCUGCAGGCCACACAUCAAACUCUUUUUGUCUGCAGCCCCUUUACCUCCCGCUCUAGUCCUCCCUUCCCUCUGUCAUGGAUCAGAGGACAUGUCCCAAAGUGCUUUGCAGGCAACACGCGUGCAGCAUGUCCCUGCAUGCUGAUGUGACUUUAAAGGUUUGCAGCAACCUCGUGAGGUGGACUGUGUGAAGGCUCACCGCUGGUUGUGUGGCCGUUCACGCUCGGACAAUGUGGGUGAAUAUUUUAAACGGAGCAACGUUCCAUGUUACCUUGAGCGCUGGUGGGAAUAGAUGUUCAAUUCUUCCAGACUGGUGAAACAGCCCAGAUGGGAAAUGUUUAUCUAUCAUAUCAGAGGCUUAAAAUUAGUGUUUGUGGGUAAUUAUCAUAGGAGAGUCGUAACCAUUGAAACAAAUACACGUAAAUGGGUAAUUUUACAAAAACGUUAUUUAAACAACCUUCAAAUCUACCCGAAUCAUUUUUUUUAAAGCAAGUUGACCGGAAACCUGUUCAAAUUCUACAUGCGAACAAAUAGCCAAAAGCUAAGCUAUUUAAAUAAAUGACCAUGUUUGCAUUCAAAGCUGCCUUCCACGAGCGGAAUGAAUUUUUGCUUUUAAUAUUUUUUUUUAUAUUCAAGAAAAAUAUCUGCAUAUAAUUAUACAAAUAUAAAUGUCAAAAUACUCACGUGAUUGUGCAAAGUGACACUUUUAAAGUUGGAUGUGUCUCACUCUUUUUAAUCUGCAGCAAAGCCCAGUCACAUCACUGUGAAUCUGUGAUAACCCCGGGGCCUCAUUAGCCUAAACCAGGCCUGGUCCAUACAGCUCUGUUAAUACCGGAUACUCGGUGGGUUUGCGGGUUGUCCUCGUGGACACUUGGGACUCCUGUGCCUUUCACACAUGACCUCUUGUCCUUUUUGGUCCCAUCGCUCAAAUUGGUCUCCACCUCUGCUGACCUCACCUCUGUUUCCAUGGACAACAGAGGCGUCAAAAAGUGCCCCGUUGAGUCUCGUGUCUCUCUGAGCCGGCUGAGACAGUUUAGCUUCGAGGUUUAAUGGCCUUCACGUGCGCCUUUAGGCAACCGGUUUGAAAGUGUUGAAAAGAUCCUUUCAGAAAGUCUGUAAGGGGGGGCCGGUCUGUGACACCCACCUUUUAUUUGAUGCAAACCUGUCAAGGGAUCUGACCGGGUGCAGGUAUUUUUUACCCCCAUUUCCUCACAUGUUUUUGUACCCUCUUUAUUGAUGUCUUUCAUUCACGAAUGCUUACAUUUGAUCACUUCACUCCUCACUACAACAACCAACUUCCCGACUCACUUUCAAAAGGAGCCGAGUUUUCAUUAUCAAGGACGCUCGCACACGGUGGGAAUUGGACGUAUGAUUCCAGACUGAAAAUACAGUAAAUGAUAAAUGAGGCCAGCAAAGAUUAAGGAUAACAAUUGCAAAACAAGGUUCCAUUGUAUCUCCACAAAAACUGUAAUUGUGGCCGUGUGGAGAAGGAUUUGACCGUAGGAAAUAUUCACUUUUCUUGUAUCAAAUUAGUUUAGCUUACAUUAGUGUUACUCACCAAAACGUGUAGGUUCUUAAGGUCUAACAAACGUGUGGAAUUUCCCAUUUCUUUCUUGGACCUGCACAAAGUUAAACAAUAAUAUUUUAGGUAUUAAAAUCAUUGGAUUGUUUUUGUCCAUCUUCCCUGGUUUGCAGUGUUGCUCUCGCUGUCUUUGCUGACACAUUGUGGAACAUCACCAUCACGUAUUGAUAAAUGGUGUAGAGUUAAACCUUGUGUAUCGCGCACCAGUACGCGGGUGCAUCCUUGUGUGUUUGAGAUGAACACAAAUGCCAGUCGAUGAGGUAUUUGGGGAGAAUGUAUCCUCCACUUUAGGCUGAAAACAUUCAUUUUGAAUUUCAAGACAAUAUGCUGUAUAUUUGCUGUAUACAAUGCAAUACGCUGAGCAUCGCAGCAGCGGUGCCGGUGUUUGAGGCUUCUUUGAUCUUAUUCCCAUUAAUCUAAAGAUGCUUUUUGUUAUUGUCACCAAAUCACAACCACGCACAAUGUCAGCUCGCAAUAAAACCGUUAAAAACAGGCCACAGAUAUUUAGUUGUAGGUUUUUGAAAAAAUCAUCUGCGAACUGUAGCAAAGAAGUAAAUAUUGCAUGAGAGACCUUUAUCAAUUGUAGACUUAAUUCUUUAAUGAGUAUUUACACCAGCAGAUGUGGCAUUGAGUUAAAUACACUACAGUGAGAGUGUGUGUGUGCGCUUAUGUUUACAAAGGAACCUGCCUUGUUGUCUAGCAUGGUGCCGUCCAUCUCUCUGCUGCUUCAAUGUACAACAAUGAACAUCCACCAAAGCUACAGACGGAUUCCCCAGAGAAAUAAAUUCACACGGUUUGGGCCAGUGCGUCAAACACUGUAGGUUGUUGUCACUCUUUUCUAUUUUUUUCCAACUUGAUGGCUUGUUGUGUUUAUGAAAAACGUAUUUCCUCACUGGUUUCAUGGUGCUCAACAACAGCUGAUCUCUGCUGACUGAUUUCUCAGUUUGGCGUUUGGUUAAAAUCGUCUUCCCUUUUCUCCACUGACUAAAUUAAGAUGUGUCAUAUCGAAGUGGUGAUGUCUUGUUAAUCUCUCCAGCUCGCUCUCAGUGGUUUGGGCCUGCUCAGCCUUCCACCGAUCUAUCAAUCUCACAUAAUCUAAUUUACACACACACACACUCUGCAGAGAAGAGGAUAACAACAGACUGCGAGUACAUUUUACGCUCAAAUCGGAUCUGUCUGUGUGAAGUGUGUGCGCGCCGCUCAGAAGCACAUCUUGGGAGGUUGUGGAACAAGUUUUAUUGCGAGAACGGAUCAAUCUGUCUUAAAUCACGGGGAUCUAUCUCAUGUCCCUCACUUGAAAAAGCCCGACAGAAAAAUGUGUAGCGCUAGCAAAUGUCAACAAGCGUUCAGUGUGUUCGUGGGUGUACUUCUACCACAGUGUGGACCAACAGGGUGACUGAGCGUUUGUGUCUGUGCCUACGUGUGUGCGUGUGUGUGUGUACGUUGAAAGAAAUAUGAAUUUGUUGGUAAAUGUCAGGAAGUUGGCAGUCUAAUGGCUGAGCUGACGGAUGAUCCAUGAAGCUAUAAAGUGAUUGGUUUGGAGAUUCUCAUACAUUCUAAUGCAACUGUCACUGUGUGUGUGUGUGUGUGUGUGUGUGUGUGUGUGUGUGUGUGUGUGUGUGUGUGUGAGAGAGAGAGAGACACGCAGGGCAGUGAAUGGUUGCAGAUUUAUUACUUACUUGGUGCAGGUUUGUCAGUUUUUAUGGGGUUUUUUUCUCUUGCUAAAUAGCUCUGUUAUGUUAUGGGUCAUUAAAUAUGACAAAAAGCAGGCAUAUUAAUGUCAAAAAAUGUAAAUGUACAGUUCCUGAGGGUUACAUAAUUACUUGUCAGUAAUAUAGCAGACAAUAUAGGUUCACUGUUAAAAUACACAUGGCUGGCCAACAGGCUGUUCAAUGAGAACCAGCACAAACACUGUAAAAGCUUUUGAUUGCACAGAUUUUCCGAUAUUUGCUUCAGAAAUAUAUCAAUAUAAUAUGUAUUACAAUUGAGGUUCAUGAAAUUUGAUUUUGUAGUCACAGCAACAACAAAGUCUCUUUUUUUCCUCUCUUUGCCAUCCACAGACCUCCCUGUGAACUACUUUCAGUGCAACGAUUCACAGAUGAAAUGUUUGUUUGAUGCACUAUUCUACAAAAUAGAUACAAAUCAUUUCUAAUUUUUUGCCUUUUUUCCGGGAAUGGUGUAAUUUUUUUUUUUGUUGAAAAAAAAGAAUAAUCUAAAGCUCUUUUUAAUUUAUACCGAUAAAUUGUACAUAUUUUAAAGUUUUUCAUAUUUUAAUUGACAAUUGUUAUAUGAUCCUCCAUUAACCUAUUUGGAACUUGCGGUAAUUGCUUUUAUUUUAUGUUCUUUUGCAAUACUUAUUGUCAUUUACCAAAUGCUACGGCAAAUCUUGUGAAUCCAAAAGCAUGCGUGUCAAUGCAUGCAGCGGGUUUACGGUGACACUGCAGUGCUUUAGCUCAAAACUCGCAUAAUAUAGAUGUGCUGCUGCUCGGCUUUCAGACACUAUUUGGCUGAUUUGGCCUCUUUUUAAGGACAGCACUGCUUAGUAAACUGGCCCUAGAAAAGUAUAGAAUAAAUUACACUUCUACCAGCAACAUGGGGAUGUGAUCGAGUCCUUCAACUUUUAAAAUGAGCUGCAUGGUCCAUUAGACAUCUUAUGACAGACCACAAUGAAGCACUUUAGGAGGUAGGACCUCCAGAGUCGCUAAAUAUUCAUUGAUCCAAAGAGGUGUAGACUGGACACAUGUCGAGGAGCUUUAAGUUGUUAACUGCUCAUCCCGAACAGAGAAGAGGUUGAACGCUUUUAUACAUGGCUGCUUCACCGCUUACAUUUCCAAGACUUUCACGCCGCCACAUUCAGCCUGAACACAAAACAAAUAAUGUGUUUUGUGAGAAAAGGUAUCUCCAGAUUUAAUCCCUUGGUUCAGUAGUUGUGGAACACUGGCCGUGCAGCUGCAUUGCACCAUGACGCCAAGAGCCUCGUCCUUUUAUAGUUGUCCCCGGCAGAACCCAAACACUGCUCCAUAGCCUGAUUUAAAGCUCCAGAUGUUGGUUUCCGCUCCAUCAAAAAUAUAUAUACAAGAGACUGAAGAGGAUGUAAAGACAUUGAACCACCUUAAUACAGGCCUGCGAGAUAUAAGACAAAUAUAAGACGCAAGCGGGAAACCAAAGGAAAGCUGAUGCAAAGUAUCAAGUACAUGUUUUAUUGUACUAGACUGUGUGUGUGUGUGUGUGUGUGUGUGUGUGUGUGUGUGUGUGUGUGUGUGUGUGUGUGUGUGUAAUCCAAAGCCAUAAACCCAUAUCUAUGACCAUAGAUUAUGUUAUAAAUAAGUGUGUCUAAACAUUCUCCAGUGUUUGAUUACGCUGUCACAAAUCUGGACGUGGCCACACGUUUCAAUCUCAUUCCAUUGCAGAUCCGCUCGGAGUUGGAAUUGAGUAUCAGCUUAAGUUGCCUUCCACUUUAUAUUUAAAUGUUUCUGUUUACAGUGUUUUUUGUAAAUGAAAACCGAAAAAAAUAUCACUAGUAAUUCCCUCUCCGUCCUCCCACUAUAGCGAGGCAUGAAUCUACUGCAUCUUGCUAUUUCCGUCGAUUGCUUCCGUUUUCCUACAUGUGUCCUCAUUUGAUCAAUCAAUUAAUCUCCAUUUAUGCCAAGCUAAAAUAUCCACGGCCUGACGCCAGCUUCGUACCAUAAAGUUGAUGUUCUAUCCAACAUUCUGAAAGGCAAAUGUUCCCUUAAAUUCAUGUAUCAUCUAUUCGACUCUACACGGUAGAGCGAGAAGGGGGACUAUUGUUUGAUCAGUAAACAAAUAUAAAUGUAGUCACUUAUAAUAAAGGAGGCUAUAGAGGCUAUAAAGGAGAUAUUUAGUGAUACUAAUGUUUUACGGGUUCAGCUAUUGAGUACAAACAAAGCAAACAGUCUUUUUUUUAGCAAUGUUUCUGUAAAUUAGCGCUCACAUGGUGGGAUUUAUUUAUGUAUUUUCUCACACAUCACACAUAUUGUCUCCCUUACUGACUCACACCUCCUCUCCAUCGUUCCCUUUUCACCUGUAGCUCAACUUUUCUCAUGCUACCACUCGUCAUCAGCCGUUCCGUCCGGCCCGUCGUGCUGAUUUUAACAUGCUGGUUUACAGGGUAAACUCGUGAAGAUCGUAGUGAACUGGAAACGAAGCGCGUCCUCUCACACGUGACCUCUGCUCCUCUUCAACCUCGCACGCCGGCCUCCUCACAUUUGACAACUGAUAACAUCGACCCUGGUGGACGGCCCGGGAUUUGUUCUUUGUAAGUUCAGUCAGAGGAAUCGGCAAACAGCGCCGAGAGAUCAAUUCACUAUGAGUGUAAUGACUAUCGAUCCAGUCGGAGCGGAGAGACCGAGAAGGAGUUGGAUGUUUUUAGAUGACAUAAUGCUUUGUGCUCUGCUGCUGUCGGGUGUCAGUGUUUCCUCCGCCGGGAGUAGAUGUGUGUCUCUUGUAUUUGUUGGCACCUAUUUGUGGACCAUGUGUGGGUUCGGGGUUCACCUUUCUCGUUACUUUCAGGGAGACUUGAAACACGGACGAGAGUUUUCAUUUGGCUUGAUUCGUUCUGUUUGAUAAGUGGCCGUGUUGCAAUAGCUAUAAUGUCCAAAAUUGAGAAACUACUCAGCCCAUGUUUUUGUGUACGUGGCUUUUGAGAUGCGUGACCAUGCCGGCAGCCCUUAAAACGUGAGAUAGUCAAACACUUUCCGAUGAGGUAAAUAUCAGACUGCUUGGAAGGAAAGGAGAGCUGCUCUGAAGUCGCCUGUUGUCUGUUAAAAGUCCUUUACGCUACAUGCGCUGACCUUUACUGGUUCUGUUGAUAGUAUCCAACUGACCUGGGAUUUCCCAUAUUUGACCAGUUGACCGCACACCACAGAGUGGCGAUUCGAAAAGGCGAGUCAGUCUUUUUCUGCCGCUGUGAUUCCAUUCUUCUCUCUACAUUUCCUCUGAUGUGUCAUCACAGGCAAGAAAUCCCUCAUGAAUUAAAUGGUUGAAAGACCUUUUAAGCUUCACGAGACGUCUUCCUUCCCUCUGUGUCUCUUUCUUUUUACCCAGGUCUAUUUUUCUGCCUCACGCUUUUCUCUUAUGAGCAUCUUACCUUUUCAUCUCUCCCCGACAGCAAAUUCUGCCAAUUCACCUAGUCUUAAAAGUGUGUGUGUGUGGCCCUGAUGAGCUUUGUUGGGUCAUGAAUCUUUUACCCUUACCAGUCAGCACAAAUCCCCCCCCCUCUGAUAGACACACAGGCAUGCGUGCAGCAUGCACACACACACACACACACACACACACACACACACACACACACACACACACACACACACACACACACACACACACACACACACACACACAACAUACCUACCAAGACAAACAGCUCCUGGCGGCGUGUUUCGCUUUGGUGAAACUGCGUUAACUUUGUAAGAGAGGCUCGUAAAAAUAGAGAACGUGUGAUCUUGAAAUGUAAUCUAUAAGAAAAGAGAUGCAAAGAAAGACAAUAGAUGGAAUAGAGAGAUGAAAAUGAAACGGCAAAUGCUGAAGAGUGGAGAGAGAAGCACUGUGCUGUGGGAGGAAAGAAAGGAGGAGAGCUGGACAGGAGAGAGAAGUGUGAGCUUAUCUCACCGGCCAGGCGUCAGCAAGGUCACUUUGCAGACUGAGGAAGGAGGAUGUGCAGAGGAAGGACGUGCAGUCGUCACUCGACAGAACCAGCCGGAGAAGAGAGUGAGGGAGAGUUUAGAAAAGGAAUGCAAAUAUUUGUAACUGAACUGCAAAUGUUUAAUGCUAAUUUGUGGCCCUCAAAUAUUUGCGUUUGUUGAAUUUUCAAAUCAAAAUGAGGCCACAAACUUUUCUCAGUUAGUUCCACAUACGUCUUUUAGGAAAUCAUUUGCAUAGUAAUUUGCAACGGGAAAUAAAUGCCCCAUUUCCAUUUUCUAUUAAAAUUGUAAUUAUGUAAAACAUUUUCACCGAGUUGUAAAAUGUAUCUGAUAAAUGUUUACAGUGCAUUUAAUUACAGUGUCCACUUCAAGUAGCAAAAGCAUGAUUGAUGAUGUUUUAAUUGUUAUGUUUAGGAACAGCACUUAUAUUGAGGGAAGUAUUGUGGUCUUCGUUAAGUAUUGUACGAUUUAAAGCAGGAGAUAAUGUGACAACAUGCUGUGUGCCAAACAGACACAAACAUGUGUCUAAAUGAGGAGCGGCCUCAAAAAAGAUAUUUAACACAGACAGAAAACCUUUUUUAGUUUUAUUCAGGAUGGCUGACACAAACCUUUCUGAUUUAGUCAAAUAGGGAAAUUAAAAUCAGUUUAAUGCUGUCGGUGAUGUCUCCAUGUUGUGUCACAUCACAGCAUCAAUUUUAGGCAGAAAGACGCAGCUCUAGGAAACCAAAUUCACCAACAAUUAAGUCAAUGAACGCCGAAUGAUUCAGCCAAAUAUCUUCCGAUUUAGGGACUUUUUUAAAGCUAAAUCUUAAUUAAAAAUAUUUAUUUAUAUUUAAUUUAAUUAAUUUGAUAUCUUCAUUUGAUUUAUACUAAUUCAUUUCUUCACAUCACUGAGCGAUCUGAUCUUAAAUGCUUCAUUAGUGUAACUAUAACUUGAUAAAAUGUCUCCACUGUCCACAAGUUAACAACUCGACAACUGUUUUGUCUUUAAAUUCAAUUUAGCCACGUUUUUCUCUGUUUCUACUCCAGUAACAUGUUUCAUAUUCAUGUGGUACACGAGGGUGGUAUAAUUGAUUGACAUAGUUCAUAUGUGGUAGAUUCAAGUCUUUGUGUCAUCUCUGCCCUGCCUUCGGUCAUCCUUCCUGUCACUGCACGCUUUCAAAAACCUGAGGAAAGACCACAAAACAACAACAACUCCCCUCCCUCCACUUCCCUACUUAAGGCAGGAAAAGAUUAAAAAAAUCACCCAAAUUGAUCCUAAUGUCUAAUAGUUUCCCUCCGCAGGAAUAAAUGGCAAAAAGACACUCUGACAGCUUCACAUGGGGGAGUCCUGAGUAAACAAACGCUGAUCCAGAAAGCGCUGAUCCAGCCUUUCCUGGGCUCCCUCGAUGCAAUCGCUCCCCUCCUCUCUCAUCUGUUCAUUAAGGUCAACCUGAUUUUUUGGUGAGAGUGGGGGGAGACUGUGGGUAAGAGGAAGAGGAUGGGAUAUAAGGGGAUUUUGAGCUAAUUAGGGGAGUAGGAGGCGAGAGAAGAAAUAGAUGAGACAGGGAGGAAGUGAAAAGGAAAGAUGGGGGGGGUAAAUGGGAAAUGGGGGUAAAAGGGAGGGAGAUAGUCACUGAAAAGGAAAGAGUAGGCAGGUGAAUUUGCUCAGUUAGCUCCCUGGUGUUUAAUAUCACUCUCCCACCCCACCUUUGCUGUCGCUCUCACCCUUACUUCCACCUCCCCGUCCAUUUAUCCUCCCUUCCAUCUCUCUUUAAUAUCCACUCUCUCUUCCCACUUCCUUCUACCCCUCGGUCCCUCUGCUCCUCUUUCUUUCCCCCGCUGUUUCUCUCAGUCGACUGAUUUUCUCUGUUUCACACCUCUGCUAUCAGAGAGGACUGGCCAGAUGGAUGCAGGUGUGUGUGUGUGUGUGUGUGUGUGUGUGUGUGUGUGUGUGUGUGUGUGUGUGUGUGUGUGUGUGUGUGUGUGUGUGUGUGUGUGUGUGUGUGUGUGUGUGUGUGUGUGUGUGAGAGAGAGAGAGUCAGAGAGAAAGAAGUCAGUGCUGCAGAGGCAGAAGAGCAUGACUAAUCCUUAGGACACACACACACACACUCAGACGUAGGAUUUGCACACACACACAAACACACAGCGAAGAGUUGGCACGAGCAUAAACAUCAUUUUCCCGGUGUUGUGCUGACCUGCCAGUGUACCUAGCUGGUGCCCAGGUCAUUUUUCAUUCAAAUUGACCAGGUGCAUAGAGAUGGCAGCCUCUUGAAAAGGCAGUUUUCAGUCCUCCCUGCCCAUCCCCACAAUGCGAUCCCAGCGUUUUGUCCAAUCCCGAAAAGCAGAUGAGAACACUGGCACUUUGAAAUAUUCCAGUUUUCAUGAAAUCCUAAAGAUCAAUCUGUCAUUAUAUCGCCAACGUAGUAGACAUUGUAGGAAUAAUCUCUGCACUAUAUUGACAAAAAUGCAGGGGUGAGUAAAACCUUAGUCAUCUUUGCACGUGGGUGCAGUCAGACAUCAACACAUACACAACCAAAUACAGUAAGUUCAAGGCUUCACUUGCUAAAUCUUCACACCUUUUUACACAAGGAUGAAAAAUGGCAUUUGAUUAAUUGUUAAUUAAGGAAUACAGUACGUCUACAAUCAACAGUUGUUUCCAAGACAACGGAAAUAACCAAUUGCAAUUCCUAAUAAGGUGCAAGCAUCUGUUAUGUUUCUUAAUAAUAAUAAUUAUUAUAGUUUAGAAAGUGGGGACAAAUCCAAUUCUCUGCACUUUUACCUAUCCCACAUAAUUGGGAGCAGUAGGCUCCCAUGUGGCACCAAGGUAGGAGUUGGAGGUUAGAGGACCAUUAAGGUCAAUUAAAAUAAAUGUAUUUUUGCUAUUGUCAUUCACGUGUGUGUGUGUGUGUGUGUGUGUGUGUGUGUGUGUGAGAGUGAGAGAGAGAGAGAGACACGCAGGGCAGUGAAUGGUUGCAGAUUUAUUACUUACUUGGUGCAGGUUUGUCAGUUUUUGCGAAUGCGAGAUAGUGGCCAUAGACAGAGGUAUGGAGUCAUAAUGUGACCAGUUUAUCACAUUCUUCAUGUUCCUCCUUGAGCUUCUGCUUGUCGGUCUUUAUUAGGAGAUCCGAACUCUCUGUAAAGAAUGCAGCAAUCAUUAAUAUAUCAGCGAGACCCUGAGGUUACCUCAAUUCAGCUCGGUUCAGUUUGGUUUGGAUCGGCUUAGUUUGGUUCAUUGUAGUUCCGUUCAUCAGUGUGAAUCACUGUUGUUGAUGUUGCUAAACUCAUCUAGUUGUGAAGUGUAGCAGAAUCAAUUACACGGCUAGAUGCUCCCAAUUAGACCGGGCUGAUCAAUGUCAGCCAAGAUCACCGCAUAAUCUCUCUCUCUCACACACACACACACGCACACGCACACACACAAACCCAGACUGCAUAGAUGAUUUGAUAAUCAAAUCAAUCUGAACAACUAGAGCUUCACUAAUGAAGCAAUGAUCUCAGAUGAAUUUCAUCUGAGAUCAUUGAGGGAAGGAAUGUGUGUGUGUGUGUGUGUGUGUGACAGAUUGUUGAUUUGAUUUUUGUCAGCAUUUAGAUUCUCGCACUUAUUCCCAUGAAGAAAAUAGUGAGAGAUGGACAAACACCAAAAAAUCAAACACCUUGGAUGUUCAUGUCCUCUCUCAUUUCCAAGGGCCCGAGGGACCCGAGGGACAUCAUUUUAUCACUCAUUGUCCUGCCUAAUUUCCUUGAUGACCUCAAUCAGUGAGACAAUUCACAUUGUUCAUCUGCUCUCAGUGGAAGGCCACUGAUGUAAAAAUUCAAACAAGUCUUCAGAUGUACUCAAUUCAAGUGUGUCGACCUUUUCUCAGCAGGAGGGCAAGAACACUUCUAAAUGUUUUUGCUUUUACAUUUAAAAAAAAUGGUUCAUCUAAUGAGGACGCCACUCGAAUAUGUCUUGUUAGAUACACUGUUUUACAGCACUAACUUUCCUGUUUAAAGAAGAUCAUUCCAUUUACAAAAGUAUAGUUUUAUUAUAUGAGCCACACUUUGAAUUGAAGUAUAUAUGAAAGACUAUACAACUGGCAUGGCAGCAUUGGUACAUCAUUAUUACAUCAUUUCUACAGCUAUUUAAGCUGAAAUAUCGUAACUAUAACUUCAGAAGAGUAAAUAUCUAUUAGCAGUUGGGAAAUUGUAGUUGCAGUAUUUCACAAGCACAAACACAAUGUUUGAAAGAAGUAAAAAAGUACUUCUAUAAUAAGUGAUAAGUUCAGAACCUCAGCGAUAUUAAAGGACCAUGUUGUAAGAUUAUUCUGUAUUUUGCCUUUUGGACCAACACGACUGAGAAACACGUCAAAGAAAAUCUGCAAUUUCAUGACGAUUGGGAGACUUUUCUGAUAUUGUGACAAUGUGAGCUUCUGACCUUGGGGGGAAUUCUAUUUCUUGAAUAAAUAUCACAAUAACAUGUAUUUAUUGUCUAUGCAUUAUGGAUGAGAGACUCUUAAAGUUGGAGGGUGUCAUUUGUUGGACCGAUUGUAAAGGCCUUUGAGGCAAAUAAGCAGUGUUGGGCAAGUUACUAAAAAUGAGUAACUAGUUACAGUUACUAGUUACUUCUUUUAAAGGUAAUUGAAUUACUUACCAGUUACUGUGUAUCAAAAGUAUUAGUUACUCUGGAAAGUAACUUUUAAAUUACUUUUAUGUCUGCUUUUUAAAUGUAAUGAAUAUAAAUAGUACUGAACAAACACAAUUGUUACGCCCGUACAGCACCCCGUGAGGGGAGGGGAACAUACACCGCGCUGCCAAGAACCCCAGACGGCCAGAGACCGGGUGUGGGCGCAAGUAAUCACACCAACAUCGAUGGGUUUCGUUUAAACAGGCUAGCACGUGCCAGUUUAUUAAUAAUAAUAAUAAUAAUAAUAAUAAACAAUAGAGGGAAAUGGGAGGACGGCUGAGCUGAUCCAAAACAAAGAAAUUAGCAAAACCCCACCCCUUACCUGUCCCAACGUCCUACACAAAACACUUAUUUACUCUGGCGCUCGAGCAAGGCGCCCUAACCAAAAAUACAG